RNAcentral lists this ribosomal RNA (91 nucleotides) under Kluyvera cryocrescens. RNAcentral's name for it is "partial 23S ribosomal RNA". The stretch from base 1 to 79 matches the Rfam family "Bacterial large subunit ribosomal RNA", at positions 2847 to 2925 of the family's 2925-position model. Lineage: Bacteria; Pseudomonadati; Pseudomonadota; Gammaproteobacteria; Enterobacterales; Enterobacteriaceae. The record is from RNAcentral.
ACGACGUUGAUAGGCUGGGUGUGUAAGCGUAGCGAUACGUUGAGCUAACCAGUACUAAUGAACCGUGAGGCUUAACCUUACAACGCCAAAG